UAGUCAUAUGCUUGUCUCAAAGAUUAAGCCAUGCAUGUCUAAGUAUAAACAUCUUUAUACUGUGAAACUGCAGAUGGCUCAUUAAAUCAGUUACAAUUUAUUUGAUGAUUGACUUACUACAUGGAUACCCGUAGUAAUUCUAGAGCUAAUACAUGCGUAAAGUCCCGACUCUCGCGGGAAGGGAUGUGUUUAUUAGAUAAAAAACCAAUGCGGCUUCACGGCCGGUUUUGAGGUGAUUCAUAGUAACUGUUCGAAGCGCAUGGCCUCGCGCCGGCG
RNAcentral lists this ribosomal RNA (276 nucleotides) under uncultured eukaryote. Its description in RNAcentral is "partial 18S ribosomal RNA". It matches the Rfam family "Eukaryotic small subunit ribosomal RNA", at positions 21 to 289 of the family's 1831-position model. The record is from RNAcentral.